RNAcentral lists this ribosomal RNA (357 nucleotides) under Vibrio parahaemolyticus. RNAcentral's name for it is "partial 23S ribosomal RNA". It matches the Rfam family "Bacterial large subunit ribosomal RNA", at positions 649 to 1007 of the family's 2925-position model. The record is from RNAcentral. Lineage: Bacteria; Pseudomonadati; Pseudomonadota; Gammaproteobacteria; Vibrionales; Vibrionaceae.
ACCAUCUAGGGGAGCCGUAGGGAAACCGAGUCUUAACUGGGCGUUCAGUCUCUGGAUAUAGACCCGAAACCAGGUGAUCUAGCCAUGGGCAGGUUGAAGGUUGAGUAACAUCAACUGGAGGACCGAACCGACUAAUGUUGAAAAAUUAGCGGAUGACUUGUGGCUAGGGGUGAAAGGCCAAUCAAACCUGGAGAUAGCUGGUUCUCCCCGAAAGCUAUUUAGGUAGCGCCUCGGACGAAUACUACUGGGGGUAGAGCACUGUUAAGGCUAGGGGGUCAUCCCGACUUACCAACCCUUUGCAAACUCCGAAUACCAGUAAGUACUAUCCGGGAGACACACGGCGGGUGCUAACGUCCG